This 293-nucleotide ribosomal RNA is filed under the name uncultured bacterium. RNAcentral describes it as "partial 16S ribosomal RNA". It matches the Rfam family "Bacterial small subunit ribosomal RNA", at positions 505 to 796 of the family's 1533-position model. The record is from RNAcentral.
GUGUCAGCCGCCGCGGUAAUACGUAGGGGGCGAGCGUUGUCCGGAUUUAUUGGGCGUAAAAGGCUUGUAGGUGGCCAUGCGAAGUCGGAUGUGAAAUCUCCCGGCUCAACUGGGAGGGGUCAUUCGAUACUGGCAGGCUCGAGGCCGGUAGGGGGUAGCGGAAUUCCCGGUGUAGUGGUGGAAUGCGUAGAUAUCGGGAGGAACACCAGUGGCGAAGGCGGCUACCUGGACCGGUUCUGACACUGAGGAGCGAAAGCGUGGGGAGCGAUCCGGAUUAGAAACCCGUGUAGUCC